This 301-nucleotide ribosomal RNA is filed under the name uncultured bacterium. RNAcentral describes it as "partial 16S ribosomal RNA". It matches the Rfam family "Bacterial small subunit ribosomal RNA", at positions 509 to 807 of the family's 1533-position model. The record is from RNAcentral.
CAGUAGCCGCGGUAAUACGUAGGGUGCGAGCGUUAAUCGGAAUUACUGGGCGUAAAGCGUGCGCAGGCGGUUAUAUAAGACAGAUGUGAAAUCCCCGGGCUCAACCUGGGACCUGCAUUUGUGACUGUAUAGCUAGAGUACGGUAGAGGGGGAUGGAAUUCCGCGUGUAGCAGUGAAAUGCGUAGAUAUGCGGAGGAACACCGAUGGCGAAGGCGAUCCCCUGGACCUGUACUGACGCUCAUGCACGAAAGCGUGGGGAGCAAACAGGAUUAGAUACCCCUGUAGUCCCUGUCUCUUAUAC